This 492-nucleotide ribosomal RNA is filed under the name uncultured bacterium. Its description in RNAcentral is "partial 16S ribosomal RNA". It matches the Rfam family "Bacterial small subunit ribosomal RNA", at positions 29 to 506 of the family's 1533-position model. The record is from RNAcentral.
AGUGAACGCUGGCGGUAGGCCUAACACAUGCAAGUCGAACGGCAGCACAGUAAGAGCUUGCUCUUACGGGUGGCGAGUGGCGGACGGGUGAGGAAUACAUCGGAAUCUACUUUUUCGUGGGGGAUAACGUAGGGAAACUUACGCUAAUACCGCAUACGACCUACGGGUGAAAGCAGGGGAUCUUCGGACCUUGCGCGAUUGAAUGAGCCGAUGUCGGAUUAGCUAGUUGGGGGGGUAAAGGCCCACCAAGGCGACGAUCCGUAGCUGGUCUGAGAGGGUGGUCCGCCCAACCGGGAAUUGGAACAGGUCCAGAACCCCAAGGGGAGGAAGAGUAGGGGAAUAUUGGACAAUGGGGGCAGGCUUGAGGCGGCCAGCCGGGUGAGGUGUAAAAGUCUUUCGGGUUGUAAAGCCCUUUUGUUGGGAAAAAAAAGCGGGAAGGUAAUACCGCGCUGUUCGGCCGGUACCCAAAGGAUAAGCACCGGCUAACUUCGU